RNAcentral lists this ribosomal RNA (109 nucleotides) under Pteropus alecto (black flying fox). Lineage: Eukaryota; Metazoa; Chordata; Mammalia; Chiroptera; Pteropodidae. The record is from RNAcentral.
GUAUAUGGCCAUGCCACCCUGAACAAGCCCGAUCUGGGAAGCUAAGCUGGGUCAGGCCUGGUUAGUACUUGGAUGGGAGAUCACCUAGGAAGACCAGGUGCUGUAGGAG